CCUACGGGCGGCAGCAGUGAGGAAUAUUGGUCAAUGGACGCAAGUCUGAACCAGCCAUGCCGCGUGCAGGAAGACGGCUCUAUGAGUUGUAAACUGCUUUUGUACGAGGGUAAACGCAGAUACGCGUAUCUGUCUGAAAGUAUCGUAAGAAUAAGGAUCGGCUAACUCCGUGCCAGCAGCCGCGGUAAUACGGAGGAUUCAAGCGUUAUCCGGAUUUAUUGGGUUUAAAGGGUGCGUAGGCGGUCGGAUAAGUUAGAGGUGAAAUCCCGAGGCGCAACUUCGGCAUUGCCUGUGAUACUGUUCGGGUAGAGAGGAGAUGCGGUAGGCGGAAUGUAUGGUGUAGCGGUGAAAUGCUUAGAGAUCAUACAGAACACCGAUUGCGAAGGCGGCUUACCAAGCUACUUCUGACGUUGAGGCACGAAAGCGUGGGGAGCAAACAGGAUUGAUACCCUAGUAGUC
This 459-nucleotide ribosomal RNA is filed under the name uncultured bacterium. RNAcentral describes it as "partial 16S ribosomal RNA". It matches the Rfam family "Bacterial small subunit ribosomal RNA", at positions 338 to 795 of the family's 1533-position model. The record is from RNAcentral.